GUGCUCGCUUUGGCAGCACACACACUAACACUGGAACGAUACAGAGAUUAGCACGGCCCCUGCGCACGGACGACACGCAGAUUCGUGCAGUGUUCCAUGUUUUU
This is a small nuclear RNA of Rattus rattus (black rat), 104 nucleotides long. The record is from RefSeq and is a predicted model, not a curated record. Lineage: Eukaryota; Metazoa; Chordata; Mammalia; Rodentia; Muridae.